Molecule: ribosomal RNA, 381 nt
Filed under: Facetotecta sp.
Lineage: Eukaryota; Metazoa; Arthropoda; Thecostraca
Description: partial large subunit ribosomal RNA
Source: RNAcentral
AUUACUGUCUUAAUUAUAAUAAAAAUUGAAUUUCAUUUUUUAAUGAAAAAGUUAAAAUUUUUUUAGAGGACGAGAAGACCCUAUAAAUCUUUAAAUAUUUUCAUAAAAUUUUAUGAAAAUAUUUAAACUGGGGCGGUAAAUAAAAUUUUAUUACUUUAUUAUAUAUAAAAUUUUGUAAAAAUAUAAAAAUUUUAAACCUUAAAAAAGAAAAUUAAAUAAGUUACUUUAGGGAUAACAGCAUAAUUUUUUUAAAGAGAUCUUAUCAAUAAAAAAGUUUGUGACCUCGAUGUUGGAUUAAAUUAAUAAAAAAUGUAGUAGUUUUUGUAUUUUUAGUCUGUUCGACUUUAAUAAUUUACACGAUUCUGAGCUUCAGACCGCGAA